This 1019-nucleotide ribosomal RNA is filed under the name uncultured bacterium. Its description in RNAcentral is "bacterial SSU rRNA". It matches the Rfam family "Bacterial small subunit ribosomal RNA", at positions 355 to 1375 of the family's 1533-position model. The record is from RNAcentral.
UGAGGAAUAUUGGUCAAUGGGCGAUGGCCUGAACCAGCCAAGUAGCGUGAAGGAUGACUGCCCUAUGGGUUGUAAACUUCUUUUAUAAAGGAAUAAAGUCGGGUAUGCAUACCCGUUUGCAUGUACUUUAUGAAUAAGGAUCGGCUAACUCCGUGCCAGCAGCCGCGGUAAUACGGAGGAUCCGAGCGUUAUCCGGAUUUAUUGGGUUUAAAGGGAGCGUAGAUGGAUGUUUAAGUCAGUUGUGAAAGUUUGCGGCUCAACCGUAAAAUUGCAGUUGAUACUGGAUGUCUUGAGUGCAGUUGAGGCAGGCGGAAUUCGUGGUGUAGCGGUGAAAUGCUUAGAUAUCACGAAGAACUCCGAUUGCGAAGGCAGCCUGCUAAGCUGCAACUGACAUUGAGGCUCGAAAGUGUGGGUAUCAAACAGGAUUAGAUACCCUGGUAGUCCACACGGUAAACGAUGAAUACUCGCUGUUUGCGAUAUACGGCAAGCGGCCAAGCGAAAGCGUUAAGUAUUCCACCUGGGGAGUACGCCGGCAACGGUGAAACUCAAAGGAAUUGACGGGGGCCCGCACAAGCGGAGGAACAUGUGGUUUAAUUCGAUGAUACGCGAGGAACCUUACCCGGGCUUAAAUUGCACUCGAAUGAUCCGGAAACGGUUCAGCUAGCAAUAGCGAGUGUGAAGGUGCUGCAUGGUUGUCGUCAGCUCGUGCCGUGAGGUGUCGGCUUAAGUGCCAUAACGAGCGCAACCCUUGUUGUCAGUUACUAACAGGUGAUGCUGAGGACUCUGACAAGACUGCCAUCGUAAGAUGUGAGGAAGGUGGGGAUGACGUCAAAUCAGCACGGCCCUUACGUCCGGGGCUACACACGUGUUACAAUGGGGGGUACAGAGGGCCGCUACCACGCGAGUGGAUGCCAAUCCCUAAAACCCCUCUCAGUUCGGACUGGAGUCUGCAACCCGACUCCACGAAGCUGGAUUCGCUAGUAAUCGCGCAUCAGCCACGGCGCGGUGAAUACGUCCCC